Molecule: unclassified non-coding RNA, 200 nt
Organism: Nomascus leucogenys (northern white-cheeked gibbon)
Lineage: Eukaryota; Metazoa; Chordata; Mammalia; Primates; Hylobatidae
Source: Ensembl
UGGACCCGGCGCCUUGCCCCCAGAUCUGCAUCGGAAUGCAGAAAAGAUCUUUAAAAAAAAAAAAAAAAGUUUUGAAUUCCUCAAUGAUUUUUCUUCUGGAAAGGCAGCUUAGGAUAAUUAUUUCAGCUUUAUUGAGGGCAGAUUAGUUGAAGUCUGGGCGCUGCGUUUCAAUACGCGUUGUACACGGGCCGACAAUGUGG